RNAcentral lists this ribosomal RNA (799 nucleotides) under uncultured Alphaproteobacteria bacterium. RNAcentral's name for it is "bacterial SSU rRNA". It matches the Rfam family "Bacterial small subunit ribosomal RNA", at positions 35 to 880 of the family's 1533-position model. The record is from RNAcentral. Lineage: Bacteria; Pseudomonadati; Pseudomonadota; Alphaproteobacteria.
GCUGGCGGCACGCUUAACACAUGCAAGUCGAACGAGAUCUUCGGAUCUAGUGGCAGACGGGUGAGUAACGCGUGGGAACCUGCCCUUUAGUAGAGAAUAACUCGGGGAAACUCGAGCUAAUACUUUAUACGCCCUUCGGGGGAAAGCUUUAUGCGCUAUUGGAUGGGCCCGCGUUAGAUUAGUUUGUUGGUGAGGUAAUGGCUCACCAAGGCUACGAUCUAUAGCUGGUCUGAGAGGAUGAUCAGCCACACUGGGACUGAGACACGGCCCAGACUCCUACGGGAGGCAGCAGUGGGGAAUAUUGGACAAUGGGGGCAACCCUGAUCCAGCGAUGCCGCGUGAGUGAUGAAGGCCCUAGGGUUGUAAAGCUCUUUUGUCAGGGAAGAUAAUGACGGUACCUGAAGAAUAAGAUCCGGCUAACUCCGUGCCAGCAGCCGCGGUAAUACGGAGGGAUCUAGCGUUAUUCGGAAUUACUGGGCGUAAAGCGAGCGUAGGCUGAUUUGUAAGUUGGAUGUGAAAUCCCAGAGCUUAACUCUGGAACUGCAUCCAAAACUACAUUUCUUGAGUUUGGUAGAGGAGAGUGGAAUUCCUAGUGUAGAGGUGAAAUUCGUAGAUAUUAGGAGGAACACCAGUGGCGAAGGCGACUCUCUGGGCCAAUACUGACGCUGAGGUUCGAAAGCGUGGGUAGCGAACAGGAUUAGAUACCCUGGUAGUCCACGCAGUAAACGAUGAAUGCUAGAUGUUGGAAACAUUAGUUUUCAGUAUCGCAGCUAACGCAUUAAGCAUUCCGCCUGGGAAG